GAUGAACGCUGGCGGCGUGCCUAAUACAUGCAAGUCGAGCGAACAGACGAGGAGCUUGCUCCUCUGACGUUAGCGGCGGACGGGUGAGUAACACGUGGAUAACCUACCUAUAAGACUGGGAUAACUUCGGGAAACCGGAGCUAAUACCGGAUAACAUGUUGAACCGCAUGGUUCAACAGUGAAAGACGGUCUUGCUGUCACUUAUAGAUGGAUCCGCGCCGCAUUAGCUAGUUGGUAAGUUAACGGCUUAACAAGGCAACGAUGCGUAGCCGACCUGAGAGGGUGAUCGGCCACACGGGAACUGAGACACGGUCCAGGCUCCUACGGGAGGCAGCAGUAUCGAAUCUUCCGCAGUGGGCGAAAGCCUGACGGAGCAACGCCGCGUGUGUGAUGAAGGUCUUCGGAUCGUAAAACUCUGUUAUUAGUGAAGAACAAAUGUGUAAGUAACUAUGCACGUCUUGACGGUACCGAGUCAGAAAGCCCCGGCUAACUACGUG
RNAcentral lists this ribosomal RNA (497 nucleotides) under uncultured bacterium. Its description in RNAcentral is "partial 16S ribosomal RNA". It matches the Rfam family "Bacterial small subunit ribosomal RNA", at positions 28 to 507 of the family's 1533-position model. The record is from RNAcentral.